UACGGAGGGUGCAAGCGUUAUCCGGAUUCACUGGGUUUAAAGGGUGCGUAGGCGGACUUAUAAGUCAGUGGUGAAAGCCCGGGGCUCAACUCCGGAAUUGCCGUUGAUACUGUAAGUCUCGAGUACAGUUGAGGUGGGCGGAAUACAUCAUGUAGAGGUGAAAUUCUUAGAUAUGAUGUAGAACACCGAUUGCGAAGGCAGCUCACUAAAGUGUAACUGACGCUGAGGCACGAAAGCGUGGGUAUCAAACAGG
Molecule: ribosomal RNA, 253 nt
Filed under: uncultured bacterium
Lineage: Bacteria
Description: partial 16S ribosomal RNA
Rfam family: Bacterial small subunit ribosomal RNA
Source: RNAcentral